AGAAUAGUGACUCUCAAACCUGACUGGACCUCACAAUGCUCUGGGAGUUUACUAUGAACAUUAAAAAGUCCAUCUCCAGAAAUUCUGAUUCAAUAAAUCUGAGGAUAAAUCAAAGGAUAAGUAUUUUAGAAAAUAGAUCACAGGGUGAUUUCAGCGCAGCUGGGAUACUUCUGGUUCUAACAUUCUAUGGUUCUCUUUCACAGAUUGCUGAUAUCUGCAUGCAGGGCUUAGGUCCUAAAUAUGGCAUAAUCAAGAUUAUCCACGGAGAUCCCUUAAGUUGCUCACCAGUGCUCUUAUGUAUACAACUUUCCUGGCUAAUUGUUAUGAUUUUCACUAAACUUUGAAAACCACAGAGAAAAACUGAAAGGAAGAACAGAGUGUUGACUGUUGAAACCUGGCUCCCAGAAAAUAACCUGUAAAACAAGCUGUGGAGAAGGCUGAGCUGUACUUCCUGUGCACAGUGAUAAGGGGAGAUCCUCCUUGUCAGACUACACAGCAACCAGAAAGGAAGACAAAUUGGGAUAUGCAUCAGGUUUCAAAACUGGCCUUGCAAUGGGUUUGGCCAAGGAUCAUGAUAAGAUUGUUUAGGAUCAGUGGACACAAGGUGAAGCUUUCAAAGAGUCUUAGAGAGUAAACAGUCGUUUUAAUGGUAUCUAUUGAAAAGUUUAUGGAUUUUAUGUUGAUUUCAGUGAGAACUGGGGGGAAGUUCUUAACAAUCAAAUUAUUUGCAAAUUUUAUCUCUCUGGUCAAGAGGUUUUUGGAAUAAAGACAGAGGAAUGAUAAAGUCUAUAAAUGUAGGCAGUAAACUCCACGGAUGUUAGUGGUUUCCCAGGUCUCAAUAUUAUGCAUAUAUCUUGCUUUCUAAAACAUUUCUGCCUCUAAGAUAAUUAUUAAUCUCUUGAAAGGCUGAUGGGGAAUGGAUGGUGAAUUGUAAAUCUGUUUUAUUUGAAGUGCAGUCCAUAAACCAAUGUUGAUCCAGAUCCUGUUAUUGGUCUGCAAAUAUAUAAAUACAGAAAUUGUGGUUUUAGAAACUUUG
This 1036-nucleotide long non-coding RNA is filed under the name Marmota monax (woodchuck). Lineage: Eukaryota; Metazoa; Chordata; Mammalia; Rodentia; Sciuridae. The record is from RNAcentral.